GACGGGGGAAGCAAGCGUUAUACGGAAUCACUGGGCGUAAAGCGGCUGUAGGUGGUGAUGCAAGUCACUGGUGCAAAACUCUGGCUCAACCGGAGGAAAGCCAGUGAAACUGCAUGACUAGAGUGUGGGAGAGGUAGAAGGAAUUCCCUGAGUAGCGGUGAAAUGCGUAGAUACAGGGAAGAACACCGGAGGCGAAAGCGUUCUACUGGAACACAACUGACACUGAGAGACGAAAGCUAGGGGAGCGAAUGGG
RNAcentral lists this ribosomal RNA (253 nucleotides) under uncultured bacterium. RNAcentral's name for it is "partial 16S ribosomal RNA". It matches the Rfam family "Bacterial small subunit ribosomal RNA", at positions 524 to 776 of the family's 1533-position model. The record is from RNAcentral.